Molecule: ribosomal RNA, 201 nt
Filed under: uncultured bacterium
Lineage: Bacteria
Description: partial 16S ribosomal RNA
Rfam family: Bacterial small subunit ribosomal RNA
Source: RNAcentral
AGUUCAGAUUGCAGGCUGCAACUCGCCUGCAUGAAGUCGGAAUUGCUAGUAAUCGCGGAUCAGAAUGCCGCGGUGAAUGCGUUCCCGGGUCUUGUACACACCGCCCGUCACACCAUGGAAGUUGGGGGCGCCCGAAGUUGCCUAAGAAAUAAGGUACCUAAGGCGAAACCAAUGACUGGGGUGAAGUCGUAACAAGGUAGC